Molecule: ribosomal RNA, 253 nt
Filed under: uncultured bacterium
Lineage: Bacteria
Description: partial 16S ribosomal RNA
Rfam family: Bacterial small subunit ribosomal RNA
Source: RNAcentral
UACGUAGGGGGCAAGCGUUGUUCGGAUUUACUGGGCGUAAAGGGCGCGUAGGCGGCCUGUUAAGUCGAACGUGAAAUCCCCGGGCUCAACCCGGGAACUGCGUCCGAUACUGGCAGGCUUGAAUCCGGGAGAGGGAUGUGGAAUUCCAGGUGUAGCGGUGAAAUGCGUAGAUAUCUGGAGGAACACCGGUGGCGAAGGCGGCAUCCUGGACCGGUAUUGACGCUGAGGCGCGAAAGCCAGGGGAGCAAACGGG